UCCAUAUUCUUCAUUCUCCUCCUGUCUGACUCUUCCUCCCUUUCUCUCUCUACAACAAUACUAUCAAAUUGAGAGAGAGAGAGAGAAUGGGAGGCCAGAAAUUCGGCAUCCUCCUCUGCGCCGAUGACUCCGAAUACGUGAAGAAGCUCUACGGCGGAUACUACGGCGUGUUCGUGAGGAUGCUGAAGGAGGAGGGUGAGAGCUGGGACCUUUUCAGGGUGGCGAGGGGCGAUUUCCCCGCCGACGAUCAGAUCGCCGAUUACGACGGCUUUGUCAUCAGCGGCAGCUGCAGUGACGCCUACGCCGACGACCUCUGGAUCUGCAACCUCCUCAUUCUGCUCAACAAGCUUCGCGCCAUGAAUAAGAAGCUUCUCGGUAUUUGCUUCGGUCAUCAGAUACUAGGACGAGCUAUUGGAGGAAAGAUUGGGAGGGCUAAAGGAGGAUGGGACAUUGGAAUCACGCAAGUUCAACUUUAUCCAUCAAAGAUAUUCACAUCUCUCAAUCUGCCUACUUCACUUUCCAUCAUUGAAUGCCAUAGGGAUGAGGUCUUGACCCUCCCACCGGAGGCAGAGGUGCUAGCAUGGUCUGAGAGGACCGGAGUCGAGAUGUUUAGGUAUGGAGAUCACAUCAUGGGCAUCCAAGGCCAUCCCGAAUACACAAAGGGCAUCCUCUCGAACCUUAUUGACCGCCUCUCCAAUUGCCAAUUCAUUGAGGAGUCCGUUGGGGAAGAGGGUAAGACGAGGAUGGAGAAGAGCGAGCCAGAUAUGGACGUAUGGUGGAAACUGUGCACGAGCUUUCUGAAAGGGAGAUUGUGAUGGAUCACAAAAAUGAGACAAGGAUGUAAACUAUAGAUCAAGUCUUAAGCAGGUCCAGUACUUAUUUGGUGGUGCUGAUGCGUCCACGUAGCAGCCUUCACAUGGAUCGCGCUCCGUGACCGUUGGAUUGAUGUGUGUGUUUGUUAUGAGUCUCUAGACUCAUCCGAUUCUCAUUCAUUCGAUUCCAGGCGUUUCUCUCUCUCUCUUGUAAACUCCGACUUCUCUCACCUCUCUCUAGAUUCCGGCCUCUCUCGCCGGCGAUCUUCUCCGAUAUUUUAUUUCCACCGUUGAUUCUCGGUUCUAGAGAGUGUCAUCGGUUUAGAUCUUGAGUGUGUGAGUUCUUGAGUGCUCCUUCUCAGAUAUAGGGUUUAGUCCAACUUCUGUGUUGGAUCUUGUGAUUGGAGGUUUCUUCUGAGGUUCUCUGGGUUGAGAAGCUGUGUUCCAAGAGAUGGGAGGUGAUUCAUGUGUUGAGAAGGCUGUGUGGUAGUGUACUCGGUGAAACUGUGGAUCUGGUUCCCUGAGUAUAUUCGACUGGUUCUCACUUUGUGACUUGUGGUAGAAGCGUGUGGGGAGGUCCUUGGCCUAGUGCAGUCACCGUUGUAACCUGAGCCAUAUCCUUGCUAUUUUGUCUUAGUUGCUGUUUCUUGUCUUACUUAGAUCCGAAAGGAUCUUGUGUUAGUGUUCUAACUUGUCUAUCUUAAGUGUGCAGGUUCUAAUUGGCGAGAACUUGGUUUCCAGAUUGGUCAAGAUUCUGGAAAGAGUUAGGGUUCCAAUUAGGGUUACAAUCUGUAAUAGCUAGACUCCUUAGUGUUGUAGAUUACUUGUAAUCUUGUAACAACUCUUGUACUUGGCUUGUAACUUCUGAGAUUAGCCAUCUCAGAGAUCGUUCAAUAAAAGAGGUCCCGGUAAUUAGCGAAUCCCGAGUGAUCUGAUCCCUAUAGUGGUAACAGAGCCCUAGUUCAGGGUUGGGCCUGUGUGGCUCGCGGUUCUGUGGUUGCGCUUGCAAGUUCUCCAAUGUCUCUGCGUGAGCUCAACCAAGACCUGUGGUGACAGGGUGACCUGUAACAUGAGGCACACAUGUGGUCUUGGUCUGGUGGUCUUGGUUUGAGGGGAGGAUUGUGAGGGCAAACAAUUCCCACAUUGGAGAAUGAACAAGACUUGCAAGUGUAUAAAUGGGCUACCCCAACUGUAUUAGUAUGAGGCCUUUUGGGAAGUACCCCAAGAACAAGGGCUUUGCCCAAAGCAGACAAUAUCAUACUAAUUUCUAGUUCGGAUGUGUGCCAUCGGGACCCAACAGUACAGAAUGAGUACAAAUGCAAUAUAGCUUGGCUUGAUGAUGUAUUCUU
RNA transcript from Salvia hispanica, 2161 nucleotides. It is a transcript of the gene named gamma-glutamyl peptidase 5-like, with no coding region annotated. NCBI's taxonomy places the organism in Eukaryota, Viridiplantae, Streptophyta, Magnoliopsida, Lamiales, Lamiaceae. The record is from RefSeq and is a predicted model, not a curated record.